UGGGGAAUAUUGCACAAUGGGCGCAAGCCUGAUGCAGCCAUGCCGCGUGUAUGAAGAAGGCCUUCGGGUUGUAAAGUACUUUCAGCGGGGAGGAAGGGAGUAAAGUUAAUACCUUUGCUCAUUGACGUUACCCGCAGAAGAAGCACCGGCUAACUCCGUGCCAGCAGCCGCGGUAAUACGGAGGGUGCAAGCGUUAAUCGGAAUUACUGGGCGUAAAGCGCACGCAGGCGGUUUGUUAAGUCAGAUGUGAAAUCCCCGGGCUCAACCUGGGAACUGCGUCUGAUACUGGCAAGCUUGAGUCGCGUAGAGAGGGGUAGAAUUCCAGGUGUAGCGGUGAAAUGCGUAGAGAUCUGGGGGAAUACCGGUGGCGAAGGCGGCCCACUGAACGAAGACUGACGCUAAGGUGCGAAAGCGUGGGGAGCAAACAGG
Molecule: ribosomal RNA, 429 nt
Filed under: Chloroflexota bacterium
Lineage: Bacteria; Bacillati; Chloroflexota
Description: Chloroflexi bacterium partial 16S ribosomal RNA
Rfam family: Bacterial small subunit ribosomal RNA
Source: RNAcentral